UGCCAGCUCUUACGAAGAGAUGCCUUUGC
RNAcentral lists this non-coding RNA (29 nucleotides) under Rattus norvegicus (Norway rat). The record is from RNAcentral. Lineage: Eukaryota; Metazoa; Chordata; Mammalia; Rodentia; Muridae.